RNAcentral lists this transfer RNA (69 nucleotides) under Marmota marmota marmota (Alpine marmot). It matches the Rfam family "tRNA". Rfam says of the family: Transfer RNA (tRNA) molecules are approximately 80 nucleotides in length. Their secondary structure includes four short double-helical elements and three loops (D, anti-codon, and T loops). Further hydrogen bonds mediate the characteristic L-shaped molecular structure. tRNAs have two regions of fundamental functional importance: the anti-codon, which is responsible for specific mRNA codon recognition, and the 3' end, to which the tRNAs corresponding amino acid is attached (by aminoacyl-tRNA synthetases). tRNAs cope with the degeneracy of the genetic code in two manners: having more than one tRNA (with a specific anti-codon) for a particular amino acid; and 'wobble' base-pairing, i.e. permitting non-standard base-pairing at the 3rd anti-codon position. RNAcentral also lists the same sequence under 2 other names. Lineage: Eukaryota; Metazoa; Chordata; Mammalia; Rodentia; Sciuridae. The record is from Rfam by way of RNAcentral.
GGGGUAGUAGCUCAGUUGUAGAGUGCUUGCCUCGAAUGUAUGAGGCACUGGAUUCAAUCCUCUGCACCA